Vicia villosa (hairy vetch) is the source of this 843-nucleotide long non-coding RNA. RefSeq lists it as uncharacterized. The record is from RefSeq and is a predicted model, not a curated record. The transcript is spliced from 4 exons. Lineage: Eukaryota; Viridiplantae; Streptophyta; Magnoliopsida; Fabales; Fabaceae.
UUUUCGUGGACAAACUUUUCACGAACACAUAACCCUCUUCUUCCUCUGAUUCAUCGAUAAUCCUCUUCUUCCUCCGAUUCAACGAUUCAGUCAAUUUUCUUCUACCUCAGUCCUCUUCUUCCUCCGAUUGAUGCACUGUUCGCCUCCGAUUUCCACUCGAAUAGAAAGAACGAAGAAAACUCAAUCUCCGUCGGACUCAGCCUUCCUCAGCUCACCACCGUCAUCUUUCUGUUCAUUUGUAUUUUAAGCAAAAGUCGGCAUUGAGGGUUUAUAAGAAUAAGAAAUACUUGCCUUUGGAUUUGCGUCCUAAGAAGAUAAGAGCUAUUAGAAGACGUCUCACCAAUAAUCAGGUGGAGGUUGUGUUUCGUGGAAUUGAAAAAUCAAAGCUUGAAUGCAUUAUUCAUUUGUAGUUGGAAUACCAUUUGCUACCUCUUUCCUAAAUCAUAAGUAAAGAUACAUGUAGGACAAUGUAUAGCUUAAUAUGGAGAUGCAUAUUGCUUUAAAGUCUUGAAGGAACAGCAUUGUUGUUGUUUGAUUGUUCUAUACCUCCACCUCUAGAGAUGGCCGGAAGAAGAGGAUUGACAGGGACUAUUCUCUUUUUGUUUUGGGAUUUAGAUUAAAGUACUCUUAGAUGGAAUGCAUGCAUCUACAAAAAAAAAUUUAAGUACACUAAAUACCCUCUAUAUGUUAUGAUAUUUGUAAACAAGAAGAUUUGGUUUAAAAUGUUAUUUGGUAUUGAUGGAUCAUAAUAUAUAUGUAAUGAGUAACUUAAAGUGUUAUUUAGUAUUGAACUAAAUGUAGCUUUUUGAUAUUUGCACAUCAAUAGAAUGAUAUUAUGUAUAG